CACUGAGCACCGCACGCGCUCCUACAUCAUAUAUGCUGCAGGCUGGUAAUUUUCCUCUAGACAUCCUAUCGGACAGACUGAACCAUCCGUUAUGUAACGCUCUCUCGCCGUGCGCGCUGCAGGUCUUACCGGGAAUGAUGGCCGGUGGUGGUGUCCUUGAUGUCGGUGGUCGGAGGAGACGGAAUCUUGCGAAGAGUCACGGCUGUUGUACGAGGUGCACAGUUCCGGGGAUGAAUGAAAUACAGACAGACCGUUACUGUCAGUAAUCCACGGGAGAUCCAACGCGAACCACAAGCCCCGCCCCUCCCAGUUCCUGUAUUAAGGCUUUUUUUGUACUGGCGUCACUGGAAGGGCUCAGCAUCCCCCCUGAUCUUAAUACAUGCCUUUGCAAAAUGGUUAUCAAGCAGCCAAUCAGCCUUGGUGGAGGCUCCACAAAAUGCGAACCGUGCUGCGAAUGGAUCGGGCCCAGUCUAUAUCCAGGACAUGCUUAAACAGCGAGGGACACAUAGCCACACAAGAAAAUCAUGACUGUUUGCUGUCCUUGCUCCAAAAUGGUGGAACAAGCUCCCCAUUGACAUCAGGACAACAUGUCUACACAUCUUCCGCCGCAGACUAAAGACACAUCUCUUCAGAUUACACCUUGGUUAAGAAGAUGGUCUAAGUCAAGUUGCAUUUAUUGCAAUGCUUGUUGCAAUUACAUGUAGCACUCUGUAGUUUGGCUUUUUUAAGCUUAUUUACUCUAUUCUUGCUGUUUUGGGUUUGUACGCUCAUGCUUGAAUGCACUUAUUGGAAGUUGCUUUGAAUAAAAGCGUCAGCAAAAUGA
Hippoglossus stenolepis (Pacific halibut) is the source of this 823-nucleotide long non-coding RNA. RefSeq lists it as uncharacterized. NCBI's taxonomy places the organism in Eukaryota, Metazoa, Chordata, Actinopteri, Pleuronectiformes, Pleuronectidae. The record is from RefSeq and is a predicted model, not a curated record. The transcript is spliced from 2 exons.